GCGCGUGCGGAAAGGGAGACGGGCUGGCAGUAGAGCCUUGUGCUGGGUGGCGCGAGCUGCGGCUGCUGUGACUUUGGCUCUCACGCGUGGGUGGAGGUGUUUGUGGAGGAUUUCGGAUGGCCAAUCUGGAAAAGAAGCACCCAACAUGACAAUGGGCGUCAUCCUCAUUCUGGCAAUAGCCAGAAACAGGUGCUGGCAACACAUCAGAGUGGAGACCGGUGGGUGUAACCCCUAAAGCCAGAGAGAUCAAUAGGAUAAAUGAGAGAGUGCGUGCACAUGGGAGGAAGAAUGGCCUGGUGAAAUGAUCGCAAGUCAUGCUGUUGCCACUAAGAACGGAGCGUUCCCCAGAUGAAAUGCACCGCGCGGAUGCCGAAAAGCAUGAGAUUUUGCUCCCCGAGCAUCGGAAAAGCCCUCGGACGAUGAACAAGGAUGCCCUGCGAAUGCCCUGCUUGUGGCCCUGCUUGUGUGCUACUGGCUGCGUCCUCGGGGUUGUGGGGUCCCUGGCGGAGCCGCUGGCAACUUCCUGCUCAGAGGUGGCCCGUGGCGGGGCGGGGACACACAACCACAACUGAGCGGUCUCCCCUCCAACAA
Long non-coding RNA from Hyaena hyaena (striped hyena), 591 nucleotides. RefSeq lists it as uncharacterized. The record is from RefSeq and is a predicted model, not a curated record. NCBI's taxonomy places the organism in Eukaryota, Metazoa, Chordata, Mammalia, Carnivora, Hyaenidae. The transcript has 3 exons.